Molecule: ribosomal RNA, 877 nt
Filed under: uncultured eukaryote
Lineage: Eukaryota
Description: SSU rRNA
Rfam family: Eukaryotic small subunit ribosomal RNA
Source: RNAcentral
CGAUGUUCAACUGGCGUGUCCGCGGGACGUCCUGCCGGUGGGCUUAGCCCGCAAGGGCGGCCCAACUUCAAAUCCCAUCGCGGUGCUCUUCACUGAGUGUCGAGGUGGGCCGGCACGUUUACUUUGAACAAAUUAGAGUGCUUAAAGCAGGCUAAAACUUCGCCUGAAUACUGUGUGCAUGGAAUAAUGGAAUAGGACCUCGGUUCUAUUUUGUUGGUUUUCGGAACCCCGAGGUAAUGAUUAAUAGGAACGGAUGGGGGCAUUCGUAUUGCGACGUUAGAGGUGAAAUUCUUGGAUCGUCGCAAGACGGACAGAAGCGAAAGCAUUUGCCAAAAACGCUUUCAUUGAUCAAGAACGAAAGUUAGAGGUUCGAAGGCGAUCAGAUACCGCCCUAGUUCUAACCAUAAACGAUGCCAGCUAGCGAUCCGUCGACGUUCCUCCGAUGACUCGACGGCCAGCUUCCGGGAAACCAAAGCUUUUGGGUUCCGGGGGAAGUAUGGUUGCAAAGCUGAAACUUAAAGGAAUUGACGGAAGGGCACCACCAGGAGUGGAGCCUGCGGCUUAAUUUGACUCAACACGGGAAACCUCACCAGGCCCGGACACCGGAAGGAUUGACAGAUUGAGAGCUCUUUCUUGAUUCGGUGGGUGGUGGUGCAUGGCCGUUCUUAGUUGGUGGAGCGAUUUGUCUGGUUAAUUCCGAUAACGAACGAGACUCUAGCCUGCUAACUAGGCGUAUUUUCGACAUCUCAAAGGUCCGUCGUCCCGGCCCUCGGGUCGUGGGCGUGCGCGAUUUUUACUGUCGGCGUACUAUCAAUUCUUCUUAGAGGGACAGGUGGCUUCUAGCCGCACGAGAUUGAGCAAUAACAGGUCUGUGAUG